AUUGAACGCUGGCGGCAUGCUUUACACAUGCAAGUCGAACGGUAACAGGGUGCUCGCACCGCUGACGAGUGGCGAACGGGUGAGUAAUGCGUCGGAACGUGCCGAGUAGUGGGGGAUAACGCAGCGAAAGUUGUGCUAAUACCGCAUACGUACUGAGGUAGAAAGUGGGGGACCUUCGGGCCUCACGCUAUUCGAGCGGCCGACGUCUGAUUAGCUAGUAGGUGAGGUAAAGGCUCACCUAGGCGACGAUCAGUAGCGGGUCUGAGAGGAUGAUCCGCCACACUGGGACUGAGACACGGCCCAGACUCCUACGGGAGGCAGCAGUGGGGAAUUUUGGACAAUGGGCGAAAGCCUGAUCCAGCCAUGCCGCGUGUCUGAAGAAGGCCUUCGGGUUGUAAAGGACUUUUGCCGGGGAGGAAAUCCCCAGCGUUAAUACCGCUGGGGGAUGACAGUACCUGAAGAAUAAGCACCGGCUAACUACGUGCCAGCCGCCGCGGUAA
RNAcentral lists this ribosomal RNA (500 nucleotides) under uncultured bacterium. RNAcentral describes it as "partial 16S ribosomal RNA". It matches the Rfam family "Bacterial small subunit ribosomal RNA", at positions 30 to 523 of the family's 1533-position model. The record is from RNAcentral.